This 253-nucleotide ribosomal RNA is filed under the name uncultured bacterium. RNAcentral describes it as "partial 16S ribosomal RNA". It matches the Rfam family "Bacterial small subunit ribosomal RNA", at positions 524 to 776 of the family's 1533-position model. The record is from RNAcentral.
UACGAAGGGGGCUAGCGUUGCUCGGAAUGACUGGGCGUAAAGGGCGCGUAGGCGGUUUGGUUAGUUAGGCGUGAAAUUCCUGGGCUUAACCUGGGGGCUGCGCUUAAUACAGCCAGACUUGAGUGUGGAAGAGGGUCGUGGAAUUCCCAGUGUAGAGGUGAAAUUCGUAGAUAUUGGGAAGAACACCGGUGGCGAAGGCGGCGACCUGGUCCAUUACUGACGCUGAGGCGCGAAAGCGUGGGGAGCAAACAGG